This 274-nucleotide ribosomal RNA is filed under the name uncultured bacterium. Its description in RNAcentral is "partial 16S ribosomal RNA". It matches the Rfam family "Bacterial small subunit ribosomal RNA", at positions 523 to 796 of the family's 1533-position model. The record is from RNAcentral.
AUACGGAGGGUCCAAGCGUUAUCGGGAAUCAUUGGGUUUAAAGGGUCCGCAGGCGGUCAAUUAAGUCAGAGGAGAAAGCCCAUCGCUCAACGAUGGAACUGCCUUUGAUACUGGUUGACUUGAGUGAUACGGAAGUAGAUAGAAUAAGUAGUGUAGCGGUGAAAUGCAUAGAUAUUACAUAGAAUACCGAUUGCGAAGGCAGUCUACUACGUAUAUACUGACGCUGAGGGACGAAAGCGUGGGGAGCGAACAGGAUUAGAUACCCUUGUAGUCC